Molecule: ribosomal RNA, 490 nt
Filed under: uncultured bacterium
Lineage: Bacteria
Description: partial 16S ribosomal RNA
Rfam family: Bacterial small subunit ribosomal RNA
Source: RNAcentral
AUUGAACGCUGGCGGCAGGCCUAACACAUGCAAGUCGAACGGUAACAGGAAGAAGCUUGCUUCUUUGCUGACGAGUGGCGGACGGGUGAGUAAUGUCUGGGAAACUGCCUGAUGGAGGGGGAUAACUACUGGAAACGGUAGCUAAUACCGCAUAACGUCGCAAGACCAAAGAGGGGGAUCUUCGGGCCUCUUGCCAUCGGGUGUGCCCAGAUGGGAUUAGCUAGUAGGUGGGGUAACGGCUCACCUAGGCGACGAUCCCUAGCUGGUCUGAGAGGAUGACCAGCCACACUGGAACUGAGACACGGUCCAGACUCCUACGGGAGGCAGCAGUGGGGAAUAUUGCACAAUGGGCGCAAGCCUGAUGCAGCCAUGCCGCGUGUAUGAAGAAGGCCUUCGGGUUGUAAAGUACUUUCAGCGGGGAGGAAGGGAGUAAAGUUAAUACCUUUGCUCAUUGACGUUACCCGCAGAAGAAGCACCGGCUAACUCCGUG